Molecule: long non-coding RNA, 1184 nt
Organism: Stomoxys calcitrans (stable fly)
Lineage: Eukaryota; Metazoa; Arthropoda; Insecta; Diptera; Muscidae
Exons: 2
Source: RefSeq, a predicted model, not a curated record
CGCCCUUUAUCGUUGAGCUUAAACUUGAAACGGACUGCACUCAUUGAUAUGUGAGCAGUUUGCCCCUGUUCCUUAGUGGAAUGUUCAUGGGCAAAAUUUGCAAGCAGUAAUUGAUUCUCUGCCGAUCGGCUUACUAAAUGAAGACUCUAUCUCUUGUCCCGUUGGCUACAACAAACAUAUUCACUAAGUUGUAAUACCCCAUAAGACAGUAGCGGUGUAGAUUAUAAAAGGGUAGAUAAGUGGCAUUUUUUUCUUCUAUCAUGCUAGAAUUUUGACACGAGAUUCCUUGAUACUCUUGUUUAAUAACAUCAAAACAAAGAUACAUAAUAGUGAUCGUCAGGAGGUGGAAUGGCUUUUUUUUAUUUGGGUUAUACUCAAAAACUGCUCUGUUGUAUGCAUUGUAAGAUUUUUUGAUAAUGUGUUCUCGAAUAAUUAUAAUAACAGUUGCUGUCGUUUGGGGAUGUUGCAUUAUUCGAUUUUCUUAAGAUGUUAUCUCUCAUUAAUGCAAGCCGACAUGCCGCAUUUUUAAAGUUCCCAAAGUUUAGCUCUAUAAAUGGUCCUGUCUAUCAUCGUUUUAUUUAUGCUGGACAUAAUGGUGAGCCAUAAGAUGAGUUUAUGCAAACGCAGGAAAAGUAUACAUCAUUUUCCAAAAAGAAAAUAUUUUUAAAAAGGCUCUGAAAGAAUAAAAUUUACGGAGUGGAGUCGAUAAUAAAUUGAAUAUAAUUUUCUUUCUUGCCAGAAGGGUGCAAUAACUAUUAACCUUACCAAAACUAGUUAAGUACAGUCAAGUUUUAAGUCUGGGCUUUAUAAAAGCUUGAGAAAUUAUUUUUGAGAAAUUUAAAAGAAACUUUCUCUCAAAUAUUAUUCCGAUUUUCAAAGUCAAAAUGAAGAAGGCAGUAGACAAUUCAAUAUUUACACAAUUGCCACCUGUCCAGGCACUUUGUUCGAUUGUAUUCGCAUGCCUGAUUGCUGUCCUCCAAUAAAGAUUAAAGUUAAGCUACAAUUGGGAAAGGCCAAAGCCUUCAAACAUGAUAGUGAAGAAAACGUUAUAGAGAAUACUUUCAACCCACUCAAGUUAAAUAUUUCUAAAUUAUAAAUGCCAACAUUAGAAACUAAAGAAAGUUAUAAUCGUUGUUUUAUAUUGCGAGUGUUUUUUACAAAAAUAUAUAUAUAUUAUUAAAGUA